RNAcentral lists this ribosomal RNA (509 nucleotides) under Drosophila hubeiensis. RNAcentral describes it as "partial 16S ribosomal RNA". The stretch from base 385 to 509 matches the Rfam family "Bacterial large subunit ribosomal RNA", at positions 2473 to 2597 of the family's 2925-position model. The record is from RNAcentral. Lineage: Eukaryota; Metazoa; Arthropoda; Insecta; Diptera; Drosophilidae.
GUCUUUUUGAAUUAAAUUUAAAGUCUAACCUGCCCACUGAAAUUUUAAAUGGCCGCAGUAUUUUGACUGUGCAAAGGUAGCAUAAUCAUUAGUCUCUUAAUUGGAGGCUGGAAUGAAUGGUUGGACGAAAUAUUAACUGUUUCAUUUGAAUUUUUUAUAGAAUUUUAUUUUUUAGUCAAAAAGCUAAAAUUUAUUUAAAAGACGAGAAGACCCUAUAAAUCUUUAUAUUUUUUUUAUUUUAAUUAUUAAGAUUAAUUUUAUUUUAAUAAUAAAAAAUAUUUUAUUGGGGUGAUAUUAAAAUUUAAAAAACUUUUAAUUUUUAAAAACAUUAAUUUAUGAAUAAUUGAUCCAUUAUUAAUGAUUAAAAAAUUAAGUUACUUUAGGGAUAACAGCGUAAUUUUUUUGGAGAGUUCAUAUCGAUAAAAAAGAUUGCGACCUCGAUGUUGGAUUAAGAUAUAAUUUUGGGUGUAGCCGUUCAAAUUUUAAGUCUGUUCGACUUUUAAAUUCUU